Molecule: non-coding RNA, 1378 nt
Filed under: Penicillium digitatum PHI26
Lineage: Eukaryota; Fungi; Ascomycota; Eurotiomycetes; Eurotiales; Aspergillaceae
Description: Bacterial large subunit ribosomal RNA
Rfam family: Bacterial large subunit ribosomal RNA
Source: Rfam by way of RNAcentral
CACGUGAAAUCCUGUCUGAAGAUGGGGGGACCACCCUCCAAGCCUAAGUACUCCUCAGCGACCGAUAGCGAACCAGUACCGUGAGGGAAAGGUGAAAAGCACCCCGACGAGGGGAGUGAAACAGUUCCUGAAACCGGAUGCUUACAAACAGUGGGAGCCCAAGGCGAGUCCUUCGAUGGAUGUCCUGGGUGACUGCGUACCUUUUGUAUAAUGGGUCAGCGACUUAAAGUAACGAGCAAGCUUAAGCCGAUAGGCGAAGGCGCAGCGAAAGCGAGUCUGAACAGGGCGUUCAGUCCGCUGCUUUAGACCCGAAACCAGGUGAUCUAGCCAUGCGCAGGAUGAAGGUGCGGUAACACGCACUGGAGGUCCGAACCAGUGCCCGUUGAAAAGGUCUUGGAUGACGUGUGGUUAGGGGUGAAAGGCCAAUCAAACCUGGACAUAGCUGGUUCUCCGCGAAAGCUAUUUAGGUAGCGCCUCGGUUGUAUGCCGUGCGGGGUAGAGCACUGGAUGGGCUAGGGCCGCCCACAGCGGUACCGCACUCAACCAAACUCCGAAUACGCACGAGCUUGACCGGGAGACACACGGCGGGUGCUAACGUCCGUCGUGAAGAGGGCAACAACCCUGACCGACAGCUAAGGCCCCCAAUUCGUGGCUAAGUGGGAAAGGAUGUGGGACUCCCAAAACAACCAGGAGGUUGGCUUAGAAGCAGCCAUCCUUUAAAGAAAGCGUAACAGCUCACUGGUCUAGUCAAGGGGUCCUGCGCCGAAAAUGUAACGGGGCUCAAGCCACGAGCCGAAGCUUCGGGUGUGACGCAAGUCACGCGGUAGCGGAGCGUUCCCUAGGCUGAUGAAGCGGGACCCGUGAGGGCCCGUGGAGGCAUGGGAAGUGCGAAUGCUGACAUGAGUAACGACAAAGAGUGUGAAAGACACUCUCGCCGAAAGUCCAAGGGUUCCUGCGUAAAGUUAAUCUGCGCAGGGUCAGCCGGCCCCUAAGGCGAGGCCGAAAGGCGUAGUCGAUGGGAAUGGGGCGAAUAUUCCCCAGCCAGUGGAUGGUGACGGAUGCCGUGUAUCGUUCGGCCUUAUCGGAUUGGCCGGGCGGUGAAGGGGUCCCAGGAAACAGCCUCCACACUAGACCGUACCCGAAACCGACACAGGUGGACUGGUAGAGCAUACCAAGGCGCUUGAGAGAACGAUGCUGAAGGAACUCGGCAAUCUGCCUCCGUAACUUCGGGAUAAGGAGGCCCUGUCUUUGCGCAAGCAGAGGCAGGGGGCACAGACCAGGGGGUGGCGACUGUUUAUCUAAAACACAGGACUCUGCGAAGUCGAGAAGACGACGUAUAGGGUCUGACGCCUGCCCGGUGCCGGAAGGUCAAGAGGAG